AGGUUCUGAUUACCCAGAAAGCCCUCUGAUGAUUUUUUCACAAUGGGUACCAGCCAAUGCCUGCAAUCCGCUGGUUAAUGGGAAAGACUGGUAUGACCGAUUCCAUUAUAGUAACAUAAUUUUGUUCCGGCCUGACCUGAUAGACAUGUGAAUCAUGCAUUUUGUUAUGAGGGAGUGUGGUCCUGAACCCCAACCUGCAGCGGUUACCAAGCAACGCUGACCACACUUCCUUGGAUUGGCUCCCUGCCCGACGCAGCCUACUGACGUCAUCGUUCCGAGACGAGUGCAUUCGGUCUGUCGGACGGGGCGCGGGCGGCAGCGCGGGACAGCGGUUACCAAGCAACGCUGACCACACUUCCUUGGAUUGGCUCCCUGCCCGACGCAGCCUACUGACGUCAUCGUUCCGAGACGAGUGCUUUCGGUCUGUCGGACGGGGCGCGGGCGGCAGCGCGGGACAGGGAAAAGAAAAGCAGAAUUCAUCAUGUUGCCAGUAUUGCAAGAGUACAGUUGGAACAUACAUCAAUGGACCACAUAUACAAGUAUAGCCAUACAGUAAGGGUCUAGAGCUGAAUAAAAAUGA
This is a long non-coding RNA of Pseudophryne corroboree (corroboree frog), 580 nucleotides long. RefSeq lists it as uncharacterized. NCBI's taxonomy places the organism in Eukaryota, Metazoa, Chordata, Amphibia, Anura, Myobatrachidae. The transcript has 4 exons. The record is from RefSeq and is a predicted model, not a curated record.